AACGAACGCUGGCGGCAUGCCUAACACAUGCAAGUCGAACGAGACCUUCGGGUCUAGUUGCGCACGGGUGCGUAACGCGUGGGAACCUGCCCUUAGGAUCGGAAUAACUCCCCGAAAGGGGUGCUAAUACCGGAUAAUGUCUUCGGACCAAAGAUUUAUCGCCUUUGGAUGUGCCGGCGUUGGAUUAGCUAGUUGGUAGGGUAAAAGCCUACCAAGGCGCCGAUGGGUAGCUGGUCUGAGAGGGUGGACGGCCACACUGGGACUGAGAAACGGCCCAGACUGCUAGGGGAGGCAGCAGUGGGGAAGAGGGGACAAGGGGCGGAAGCCUGAUGAAGCGACGCCGCGUGGGGGAUGACGGCAUUCGGGUGGUAAACUCCUUUCGAACGCGAGGAAGCCACCUGGGUGGAAGGGUGGUGACGGUAGUGGUAGAAGAAGCAACGGCUAACUACGUG
This 452-nucleotide ribosomal RNA is filed under the name uncultured bacterium. RNAcentral describes it as "partial 16S ribosomal RNA". It matches the Rfam family "Bacterial small subunit ribosomal RNA", at positions 29 to 507 of the family's 1533-position model. The record is from RNAcentral.